CUCCUCACUCCUACCAUAGUCUCUCCUCACUCCUACUUAGUCUCCCCUCACUCCUACCAUAGUCUCUCCUCACUCCUACCAUAGUCUCUCCUCACUCCUACUUAGUCUCCCCUCACUCCUACUUAGUCUCCCCUCACUCCUACCAUAGUCUCUCCUCACUCCUACUUAGUCUCUCCUCACUCCUACCUUAGUCUCCCCUCACUCCUACCUUAGUCUCUCCUCACUCCUACUUAGUCUCUCCUCACUCCUACCUUAGUCUCCCCUCACUCCUACCUUAUCUCCCCUCACUCCUACCAUAGUCUCUCCUCACUCCUACUUAGUCUCCCCUCACUCCUACCAAGUUGUGGAGGAAAAUACGGAACAAAUGUGUCCGCGAUGAAAAGCAGCAGUGGCGACGCACGGGGCAAUAAAGUCUAUGAUAAAUAAACAAACAAACAAAUAAAUAAAUAGACGUGACUCUCUAGGUCGUCACUCCGCCUGUUGUUCUGGCGGUGAAUCGCUCUGCAACACACGCAGAACCAUGAAUUGAAACGA
This is a long non-coding RNA of Gasterosteus aculeatus aculeatus (three-spined stickleback), 534 nucleotides long. The record is from Ensembl. Lineage: Eukaryota; Metazoa; Chordata; Actinopteri; Perciformes; Gasterosteidae.